This is a transfer RNA of Felis catus (domestic cat), 85 nucleotides long. It matches the Rfam family "tRNA". From Rfam's summary of the family: Transfer RNA (tRNA) molecules are approximately 80 nucleotides in length. Their secondary structure includes four short double-helical elements and three loops (D, anti-codon, and T loops). The record is from Rfam. Lineage: Eukaryota; Metazoa; Chordata; Mammalia; Carnivora; Felidae.
GCCUGGGUGGCUCAGUUGGUUGAGCGUUUGACUUCGGCUCAGGUCAUGAUCUCACAGCUCGUGAGUUCGAGCCCCAUGUCAGGCU